RNAcentral lists this long non-coding RNA (2181 nucleotides) under Sus scrofa (pig). RNAcentral's name for it is "lncRNA (ENSSSCG00035057341.1)". The record is from RNAcentral. Lineage: Eukaryota; Metazoa; Chordata; Mammalia; Artiodactyla; Suidae.
UUUUUUUUUUUUUUUUUUUAGAGAGAGGAAUAUUGAAGUGUUUAGGGGUGGAAUUUUAUAAUAUCCAUCGUUACUUGGAAUGAACUUCAGGAAAAAAAAAAAUACAACAAAAUAUUACCACAACAGGCAUUCCCAUCAUGGCUUGGUGGUAACAAAUCUGACCAGUUCUAUGAGGACACAGGUUCGAUCCCUGGCCUUGCUCAAUUGGGUCAAGGAUCCGGCAUUGCUGUGAGCUGUGGUGUAGGCUGGCAGCUGUAGCUCUGAUUUGACCCCUAGCCUGGGAACCUCUGUAUGCCAUGGGUGCAGCCCUAAAAAGCAAAUAAAUAAAUAAAUAGUCAGACUGACCAGGACAGCAUGAAGAUUUAGCAAUUAAGACAGAUGAAGUGGGAACACAGAAGAUUUAACUGUUAGACAUUCAGAUGCUCCCAGUGUGACUACACAAACCAAUAUUUAAAUUGUGGCUUUUCCUGAAACUGGGCCCUUAGCCCUCUUCCAUCUUUCCACACUUCUCCUACUGACUGUAUCCAGGCCCGGGCCUCCCUUAUGCAGGCACCAGCCCCACCCUCUUCUGGUCAAUUGUGCUGCCUGCUCACAUCAAGAGUGCCAGUCUGGGAGCCCAGAAUCCUCCCACACCUAUGCUCCCCUCCAGGGCUCCAGCCCGGCACUGAGGGGUACUGCCAUCUCCAGCUUCAGGAGCCAGGACUCCAGUGCCAGAGCGGGGUACCCCCAGGACAGAGGAUGCUGCUUAUCAGAUACCAUCUAUCAUAAAAGAGUUUGGUCCACCCUGCUUGGUAAUCGAGGUAUUACCUUCAUGAUCAUCAGCCUUUGGCAGCCACCAAAAAUAAAGACCUGGUUUCCCAGAAAUAAAAGAAUCACAUGAGAGUCAUUUUUGAAGUCCCCAUGUGGCGCAACAGAAUCAGCAGCGUCUCUGUGGUGCCAGGAUGCAGGUUCGAUCCCCAACCUGGCACAGUGGGUUAAAGGAUCUGAUGUUGCUGCAACUUCGGCAUAAGCUGCAACUGCGGCUUGCAUCUGAUUCCUGGCCCAGGAACCCCAUAUGCCAUGGGGUGGCCAAAAAUGAAAAGAAGAGAGAGAAAUAGAAUGAGGUUUUUGUUUUGAUUUGUUUUUUGGAGGUUUUUUUGUUGUUGUUUUUUAGCUUUUUAGGGCUGCACUCACGGCAUAUGGAAGUUCCCAGGCUAGGGGUCCAAUCGGAGCUGCACUUGCUUGGCCACAGCCACACCAAAUCCAAACUGCAUCUGAAACCUACACCAUAGCUCACGGCAACAGCCACGCUGAAUCCUUAACCCACUGAGUGAGGCCAGGGAUCAAACCCCCAUCCCCAUGGACCCUAGUUGGGUUCAUUAACCGCUGAGCCAGGAAGGGAACUCUGAAAGAGUCAUUUUUGAAUUGUUAAACCUACUGUAAUAGAAACUAAAUAUUCUUCCUUCUACUGGUAUCUUUGGUAGAGGCUGAAUCUGACUAUACCUAAGAUUCCAAUUCAAUCACUUUUCAGGAUUCAUAGGAGACAACUUAUGUAAUUCAUUCUUAACGGCAAAAAAACAUUAAAAUUGAUGCAAGCUACCAUUUUGCCAGACAAAAUUAUAAGCUAAUAGAAAAUUUCCCUGCUAAUAUAAAGUCAAAAUGAAUGAAUAAAUCUGUUAUUUAAAUUCCAAUCAGGUUAGUUUUGUUUUUUUUAAUCUUUCCAUAAUUCCUCAGUUUAAAAAACCCCUCUUUUUUCUGAGUGGAAAAAAAAAAAUCAGACUUGUUCAAUUUCAAGGUGGAAGAGUAAGAUGGUAACACAUAAUUAAGUCAGGCAAUUUCAUUCCAAUCUCUCUUUAAGGCUCUGCCUUUUGAUUUCAAUUGCUUUAAAAGAAAAGCAAUGUUCAGUGUGUAGACAUUUUUUAAAACCCAAAGGCCUAAGUUCCUAAUUUUCUCUCACUCAUUUGCAGCUAAAGCAAACCCAAAGUGGAAGAAAGUGUUGAGGGGCAGGUGAGUUAGGGGAGAGGUGGAAAAAAUCUAUAUGGUGAAAGUCGAAAAAGCAAGAAUUAGCUCAGAUUAUACAAAAGUCCCCCGCCAUUCCUUAGUCACAGAUAACAGGCAGAGAUAGUACCAGCUGCAAAGUGAACAGGAAACAGUAUUUCUCCCACGGACACACUGCAGCUGUAAACACUGAUAUAAUACCCC